RNAcentral lists this long non-coding RNA (303 nucleotides) under Elaeis guineensis (African oil palm). RNAcentral's name for it is "long non-coding RNA (EGUI_LNC062053)". Lineage: Eukaryota; Viridiplantae; Streptophyta; Magnoliopsida; Arecales; Arecaceae. The record is from RNAcentral.
CUCUCAGUUUCGGUCCUUGUUAGGGAUUGCCUCAAGUUUUCAACUUCUUCCUCUAGUUCUAUUUUUCUCAGCACCAUAUCCCGGUACAUCUGAUGGAACCACCGACUCUCACCCUCCGACUCUCGAAGCCUCUUCCUCAAGACCUCGGACUCUACCUCGACAUCUUUGACCACCUACUGCUUGUGGACUAGCUGAAUCUUCAGCCGCUGCAGUUCGGCCUCCCCCUGUCCAAGGGCCACAGACAGUUCUGCCAUGGUCUCCCUCAAGGAGCAGAGCUCAUCGGAGCCUCGUGCAGAGGUAGGC